GACGAACGCUGGCGGCGUGCUUAACACAUGCAAGUCGAACGGAAAGGCCCUGCUUUUGUGGGGUGCUCGAGUGGCGAACGGGUGAGUAACACGUGAGUAACCUGCCCUUGACUUUGGGAUAACUUCAGGAAACUGGGGCUAAUACCGGAUAGGAGCUCCUGCUGCAUGGUGGGGGUUGGAAAGUUUCGGCGGUUGGGGAUGGACUCGCGGCUUAUCAGCUUGUUGGUGGGGUGGUGGCUUACCAAGGCUUUGACGGGUAGCCGGCCUGAGAGGGUGACCGGACACAUUGGAUCUGAGAUACGGCCCAGACUCCUACGGGAGGCAGCGGUGGGGAAUAUUGCACAAUGGGCGGAAGCCUGAUGCAGCAACGCCGCGUGCGGGAUGACGGCCUUCGGGUUGUAAACCGCUUUCGCCUGUGACGAAGCGUGAGUGACGGUAAUGGGUAAAGAAGCACCGGCUAACUACGUG
RNAcentral lists this ribosomal RNA (468 nucleotides) under uncultured bacterium. RNAcentral describes it as "partial 16S ribosomal RNA". It matches the Rfam family "Bacterial small subunit ribosomal RNA", at positions 28 to 507 of the family's 1533-position model. The record is from RNAcentral.